RNAcentral lists this ribosomal RNA (1877 nucleotides) under Escherichia coli. RNAcentral's name for it is "partial 23S ribosomal RNA". It matches the Rfam family "Bacterial large subunit ribosomal RNA", at positions 1 to 1896 of the family's 2925-position model. The record is from RNAcentral. Lineage: Bacteria; Pseudomonadati; Pseudomonadota; Gammaproteobacteria; Enterobacterales; Enterobacteriaceae.
GGGUUGUGAGGUUAAGCGACUAAGCGUACACGGUGGAUGCCCUGGCAGUCAGAGGCGAUGAAGGACGUGCUAAUCUGCGAUAAGCGUCGGUGAGGUGAUAUGAACCGUUAUAACCGGCGAUUUCCGAAUGGGGAAACCCAGUGUGUUUCGACACACUAUCAUUAACUGAAUCCAUAGGUUAAUGAGGCGAACCGGGGGAACUGAAACAUCUAAGUACCCCGAGGAAAAGAAAUCAACCGAGAUUCCCCCAGUAGCGGCGAGCGAACGGGGAGGAGCCCAGAGCCUGAAUCAGUGUGUGUGUUAGUGGAAGCGUCUGGAAAGGCGUGCGAUACAGGGUGACAGCCCCGUACACAAAAAUGCACAUAUUGUGAGCUCGAUGAGUAGGGCGGGACACGUGGUAUCCUGUCUGAAUAUGGGGGGACCAUCCUCCAAGGCUAAAUACUCCUGACUGACCGAUAGUGAACCAGUACCGUGAGGGAAAGGCGAAAAGAACCCCGGCGAGGGGAGUGAAAAAGAACCUGAAACCGUGUACGUACAAGCAGUGGGAGCCUCUUAAUGGGGUGACUGCGUACCUUUUGUAUAAUGGGUCAGCGACUUAUAUUCUGUAGCAAGGUUAACCGAAUAGGGGAGCCGAAGGGAAACCGAGUCUUAACUGGGCGUUAAGUUGCAGGGUAUAGACCCGAAACCCGGUGAUCUAGCCAUGGGCAGGUUGAAGGUUGGGUAACACUAACUGGAGGACCGAACCGACUAAUGUUGAAAAAUUAGCGGAUGACUUGUGGCUGGGGGUGAAAGGCCAAUCAAACCGGGAGAUAGCUGGUUCUCCCCGAAAGCUAUUUAGGUAGCGCCUCGUGAAUUCAUCUCCGGGGGUAGAGCACUGUUUCGGCAAGGGGGUCAUCCCGACUUACCAACCCGAUGCAAACUGCGAAUACCGGAGAAUGUUAUCACGGGAGACACACGGCGGGUGCUAACGUCCGUCGUGAAGAGGGAAACAACCCAGACCGCCAGCUAAGGUCCCAAAGUCAUGGUUAAGUGGGAAACGAUGUGGGAAGGCCCAGACAGCCAGGAUGUUGGCUUAGAAGCAGCCAUCAUUUAAAGAAAGCGUAAUAGCUCACUGGUCGAGUCGGCCUGCGCGGAAGAUGUAACGGGGCUAAACCAUGCACCGAAGCUGCGGCAGCGACACUAUGUGUUGUUGGGUAGGGGAGCGUUCUGUAAGCCUGUGAAGGUGGCCUGUGAGGGUUGCUGGAGGUAUCAGAAGUGCGAAUGCUGACAUAAGUAACGAUAAAGCGGGUGAAAAGCCCGCUCGCCGGAAGACCAAGGGUUCCUGUCCAACGUUAAUCGGGGCAGGGUGAGUCGACCCCUAAGGCGAGGCCGAAAGGCGUAGUCGAUGGGAAACAGGUUAAUAUUCCUGUACUUGGUGUUACUGCGAAGGGGGGACGGAGAAGGCUAUGUUGGCCGGGCGACGGUUGUCCCGGUUUAAGCGUGUAGGCUGGUUUUCCAGGCAAAUCCGGAAAACCAAGGCUGAGGCGUGAUGACGAGGCACUACGGUGCUGAAGCGACAAAUGCCCUGCUUCCAGGAAAAGCCUCUAAGCAUCAGGUAACAUCAAAUCGUACCCCAAACCGACACAGGUGGUCAGGUAGAGAAUACCAAGGCGCUUGAGAGAACUCGGGUGAAGGAACUAGGCAAAAUGGUGCCGUAACUUCGGGAGAAGGCACGCUGAUAUGUAGGUGAAGCGACUUGCUCGUGGAGCUGAAAUCAGUCGAAGAUACCAGCUGGCUGCAACUGUUUAUUAAAAACACAGCACUGUGCAAACACGAAAGUGGACGUAUACGGUGUGACGCCUGCCCGGUGCCGGAAGGUUAAUUGAUGGGGUUAGCGG